This 497-nucleotide ribosomal RNA is filed under the name uncultured bacterium. RNAcentral describes it as "partial 16S ribosomal RNA". It matches the Rfam family "Bacterial small subunit ribosomal RNA", at positions 28 to 507 of the family's 1533-position model. The record is from RNAcentral.
GAUGAACGCUGGCGGCGUGCCUAAUACAUGCAAGUCGAGCGAACGGACGAGAAGCUUGCUCCUCUGAUGUUAGCGGCGGACGGGAGAGUAACACGUGGAUAACCUACCUAUAAGACUGGGAUAACUUCGGGAAACCGGAGCUAAUACCGGAUAAUAUUUUGAACCGCAUGGUUCAAAAGUGAAAGACGGUCUUGCUGUCACUUAUAGAUGGAUCCGCGCUCCAUUAGCUAGUUGGUAAGGUAACGGCUUACCAAGGCAACGAUGCAUAGCCGACCUGAAAGGGAGAACGGCCACAUGGUAACUGAGACUCGGUCCAGACUCCGACAGGAGGAAACAGUAGAGAAUCUUCCGGAAUGGGCGAAAGCCUGACGGUGCAACGCCGCGUGAGUGAUGAAGGUCUUCGGAUCGGAGAACGCUGUUAUUAGGGAAGAUCAUAUGUGUAAGUAACUGUGAUCAUCUUGACGGUACCUAAUCAGAAAGCCACGGCUAACUACGUG